Non-coding RNA from Carica papaya (papaya), 513 nucleotides. NCBI's taxonomy places the organism in Eukaryota, Viridiplantae, Streptophyta, Magnoliopsida, Brassicales, Caricaceae. The record is from RefSeq and is a predicted model, not a curated record.
GGUGAUUAUUAUUCCAGCUUAGCAAAGACAGGUUCUCCUCGAUGGGUACGUGGAGGAAACAACUGAAGUAGCCUGACUAACUAAAAUACAUGCUUGGCAUUGGUCAAUUUUGUAAAUUAAAAAAUGAAAAGAAAAAAAAAAGGAUGUAAGAAUUUUAUUGUUUUGACUGAUCUGAUCAUACCUUCUAGGCUUAUGAAGCGGUUCCUCUAUGUGGCUGCAUGAUGUUUGUAGUCAAGUGUACCAUUUGUAAAGAAAUGAUAAACGGAUGCAAAGGAUAUUUUGUCUGAGGGAUAAUCAGGCAUCCUCUGUCCUUCAAUCAACGAGCAUAGUGCAGUGGCAUAUAUAUUCACAGGAAUGGUGGUGGUGGUGGUACAGAGUGUGGAAGUGGUGGUCCCAAAAUCAUAGUCUCCAAUGGUAACCAUCUUGUUCUAAAGCUUUCACAUACAUAUAUAUAUAUAUAUAUAUAUAUAUAUGACUGUAUAAUAUGUUGCAGUGUAUUGUUUGUAUGUGCAU